Apodemus sylvaticus (European woodmouse) is the source of this 7128-nucleotide long non-coding RNA. RefSeq lists it as uncharacterized. Lineage: Eukaryota; Metazoa; Chordata; Mammalia; Rodentia; Muridae. The record is from RefSeq and is a predicted model, not a curated record. The transcript has 2 exons.
UUUACCUGUUUUACACCUUGCCACUUUGGCUCUGAAGGAAUUGCCAAAGAUUUUGUAUUUUUCUGCUCUGAUGUCAGUGGCAAAUUUGAGAAUUUGACACUGUUCAGUGCUGGUCCUGCUAAGAGCUUCCUGGUGGACUGUGGUGGCAAUACUAUCAUUGGUUUGUCCGAAGAACUCACAGUUUGAAACUGUGACGCUGGUUUAAACUGCACAGCUUCCAAAGUUUGAUAACUAGGUUCUUCUGAAAACACCUUCCUUCUCAAGUGAUUCAGACCACAGCCAGGAGUCAGUUUUACAGCAUUUGUACAAAACUGUGUGUGUGUACUCUUCUCUGGAAACUUUCUAUCUUCAGGAGGCGACGUUGGUAAAACCACAGAAUUCACACCAUUUGACUGAGGCCUCAAAGUAAAUAUAGGUUGUGUACUUUGCUGCUGUGACCCCAGCUGGUUCUUCCAAACUGGGAUCUUUUCCAAGUUUGCCCCUAGCAUUAAGUUAGAUGCAUUCCUAUCUUGAGAAGGUGAUAUACCCAAAUUGUUUGACCCUGGAUUUAGGUCAGACGUCAAAUCUUUCAGAUGUUGUUCUUGAAGUUUUGGAGCUUGUAAAUGUGCCCCAGGGUUGUAGCCAAUAGAAUUUACAGACUGAGAUUGUUGACUUAGAGUACAUGCAGAAGAAUUUAUAUCUUUCAAAUGUAUUCUAUUAUUGCACCAAACAGGAUUUACACACAGAAUUUGCGGUGGUGGAAAUGAAGAAAAGUUCAUACCUUGAAAAAGUGGCCCAAGAUUAUACCUAUUAGAAUGUUCACACAGAUGGUUUUGCCCUAGAGUGUAUACAGAAGAAUUGACAGCUUGCGAAUGUAAUUCAGGAUUCUCUGGGAUGCAUGCAGAAGAAUCUGCACACUGAGGAUUUGACCCUAGGGUGCAUGCAGAAGAAUCUGCACACUGAAGAUUUGACCCUAGGGUGCAUGCAGAAGAAUCUGCACACUGAAGUUUUGAUCCUGGGGUGCAUGCGAAAGAAUUUGCACACUGAGGACUUGGCUCAGAAUCGAAGUCCACUGCUUUCAUAUCUUGAGAGUUUGUCUGUGUAAUCACCUCAGAAGGUUUUAUACUUGUCAAGUAUUGUUCCAUAGAGUCUAUACCUUGAAGUUUCAUGCCCAUGAUCAGCUCAGGAUAUUUCAAAUCUUGCAAAUUAAAGCCUGAAUCAGCCCUAUAGAUUGUGUGCCUACCUAAAAGCAACUUCCUUGGGGUGAACUCAGGUGUCUCAUCUUGUAAUUUUUGACAAAGUUUGAUUUCUACUGGUUUCAUUCCAAGUACAUUCUUUUCUGUGAUGACUUCAGAUGACAUACCUUCCACGUGUGAUCUAGGACAGAAGCUCAUAGAUAUGACAUCUUGGACUUUUACACCCAUGGUCCUCCUCAAAGAUUUCGGAUCUUGUAACUUUGGGUCUGAUUCACAGUCUUCCAUCUCCAUUUCUAAAGGCUUUGUCUUCAGAACUGAAUCUGAUUUUAUAACUUGGGACUGUGGCCCAGUAUCUAGCUUGACCCUUGGAAUUUUGGUUGAAAUUGGUUUACUUUUCAACAGUGACCUUAACUUAAAUUUCAUAUAUUCAGACUUUGUUUCAGUUGUUAAGUUAGAACAUUUUGCACUCUGCUCCUGGGGCUUAGACUUCAUCUCAAUUUUCAUACCUUGAGGUUUUAUCUGAAGGGCCAACCCAGAGGAUUUUUCACUUUUCAACCAUGUCUUUGUAUUGUUUUGUGACUGUGACCCUUGGCCUAAUGCCCCAGAUUUCCCUUCUGAAGAUUGUGACUCUUGUUUAAACACUGAAGAUGUCACAUCUUGAAGCUGUUGGAUUCCUGGAGAGGACUUUAAUGGUUUUGAUUCUUGUGACUGUCUUCCAGGGGUCUGUUCUUGUGGCCUGAGGUAAAAAUUCCCAGAAUCUUUCCCAUGAAGUGUUGGCCCUUGAGUCAUUUCUGAUGGCUUCCCACCUCCCAAUUUUGUGGAGGGUUUCUGUUCUGUCCAUUUGACACCUUGAAACGGUGACCCACUAUUGAAUGCUGACAUCUUUACACCUUGGAACUCCUUUCGAGGUGUCCGUGGAACAGAUCUAACACUUUCAGCCUUUGGCUCCUUGUUUAGCUCCUUGAAUGUCAUGCCUUGAGUCUGUGGCUCUGGAGUCAAGUGAAGUGGAUUUGGUUCCUGCAAUGGAGAGGUUUUUACUCCCUGUAACUGUGACUCAAGAUGAAAUGCCGCCUUUUUUUCUCCUUGACUUUUUGACCUGGCGGUCAGUUCAGAUGAUUUCACACUUCUCCAUAGCAUGGGCGGCUUCAGUUCCGUAGCUCUGGCAUCUCCAGACUGUAACCUUGAGUUUGAAGCUACACCUUUCUCACUUUGAAACUCAGAUAUUGGUAUCCAUUGAAGAGCCUUUGUGCUUCCAAUUGGGGGUUGUGCCAGAGUUUCCAUACCUUGAAGCUGUAGGUCCAACGUUGACUCCAAGGCUUUUUGUUGGUACAUCUGGGACCCUGGAGUCAACUGGCAAGGUUUCAUACUUGGCACCUGUAGUUCAUUUUGGAACUCUUCAGAUUUUACACUUUGAGCAAUUGGCUGAGGACCCAAUUCAAAUGAGGUUGUAUCUUUGAAUUUUAACUUAGGGUUGAGCCCUAUGGGUUUCAUAUGUGCAGGUUUGGGUUCUUGAGCUGACUCCAUGGGUAAUGUAUUUUCUGAUUCAAGCUGCUUUUUCUGUUGAUCAAAAAUCCCACCUUUCCACUCUAGUGGCUUUACAGUUCUCUGGUCAUCCUCUCUAGACUUAGGACUUAAGUCCAUGAGUGCCAUCCCUUGACACUGUUGUGUUGAGGUGAAAUCUACACAUUUUACUUCACGGAUUUCUUGGGUUUUGGCUACAGUUACAGGUUUUAGACUUUGCCGUUUCAAACAAGGGGCGAUCACGGGGUUCCUACAUUGCAUUUGUGGCUGUGAAGUCAGUUCCUUGGACUUUAUACCUUGCAGUUGGGGCCCUUGAAACACCUCUAUAGGUUUAUCUUGAAACAUCUUGCUUGAUACAGAUGUCACAGUAUUCUCCCCUUGCUUCUUUGGUUCAAGUUUCAAGUCCAAGGCAUUUACAUCUUGAACAUGUGUAUCACGGGCCAACCCCUUAUUUUUUACAUCUUGAAUUCUUGAACCUGGAAUCAACUUCACAGACUUCAUAUCUCCUUUCAGGGAACCAGUUGGGGAUACCACAGUAGAUUUUAUCCUCUUGAGACAUUCUUCUACAGUUAAGAUCACAGAUUUCCUAUCUUCCAUUGUUGGCUUUGAAGGUAGAAACUUUGGUUUUAAACCCUUCAAGCUGUAGCCUGGAGGCAGCCCCUUAAGGGUCCUAUCUCCUGAUUGCAUCCCUGAGGUUGACAGCAUAAAUCUGACAUGCUCCAGCUCUGACUUUAACUUUGUAGAUUUAAUGUCUCCCAAAUGUAGCCCUGGUGUUAAUUCCACAGAUGUCAGAGCUUCUUGCUUUGAGACUAUAUUGUCCUCCAUGGGUUUUAUAUGUCCUAAAAGCUGUGCUUCAGCCAAUUCAGAAGAUGCUAUGCCUUGGGUCUGUGGUCUUCUGAUCAACUCGGAAUGAUCUACAUUUGCUAAGUGUCUCCCAGGAGCCAAUUUUGUAGUUUCCGAUAUUGGUACCUGUGGCUCAGACACUGUUUCAUAAGACACUUUGUCUUCAACGCUUGGCACUUGAUUCCCUGUGAUAAAUUUUACAUCCUGAAAUGGUGACUGGUAUACUACCAAUUCAGUCUUCAUCCCUUCCCCCUCUGAUGGUGUGGUCAACUCAAAAAUUUUUACAGAUUCUAAGUGUGGCCCUGAGUUCAGCUCUGAUGUUUUCACACCUUGAGGUUGAGUUCCUGGUAUUCCAUCCCAAAAUUUGACAUCUUGCAGCUGUGGUCCUGUAUUAAAGCUCACUUGCCUUGUAUCUUGUAGCCCUGGAGUCGUCUUUGCUAAGUUAGGAUCCUGUAUCCCUAACUCUGGAGUCAUAGAACUUCCGCUAACAAACAUCAAUCCUGAGAUUUGCUCCCCAAAUUUGACCCCUUGAAGUUUUGGUCCUGAAGCCAGCUCAGAAAAUUUGGUAUCUUGUUUCCAAGGACCUGUGUUGACCUCCUCAGGUAUCACUUGUGAAUGCUGUAGUUCAGAGGCUUGUGUUGCAAAUUUCAUGCUGUGAAACUCUGAUCCUUGUAUAGGCAGAACAAGCUUCCGAUCUUCCAACUUUGGCUCUUGGCUUAAUGGCAAUAAUAAUUCUGGUAUAAAUCCCUGAGACGUCCUCUCUUGAAGCGGAAACCCUGGCAUGAACUGUGUAUAUUUGAAACCGUGGAGUUUGGGUUUGGGAAUUGGCUCAGAAAAUCUCACAUCUUGCAAACAUGGUCCUAGAUUUACUUCCAUAGAUUUCACAUGUUGUGGUUGUGGUUCUGGAAUCUUUGGCCCCAGAAUAAAACCAGAUGAUCUGAUUUCUGGCAUUGGGGAAUAUGAUAUUGCUUCAUCAGAUUUCAUACCAUAAUGUGGGGGGCCCAAAAUAGAAUUUGCUGGAUUAUCCCCUUGAACAAGUAGCCCUUGAUAUAACUUUGGAAAUCUGACACUUUGCAGUUGUGGUCCUGACGUCAGUCCUGAUUUGACAAUUGGCUGUUCUUGGCCCAAAUUCAAAUCCAUGGAUUUCACAUUUGGAAUCUGUGUCCCCUCAACUGACUCCUUUCUUAAAGUCUGUAGCCCUGGCUCUUGUUUUGUAAUUUCAGGAUCUUUCACUCUUAUAGAUGGCUGUUGUCCUAAAUCCACAGAUAACUCACUUUGUAACUCUAAUCCUGUAUCUAUUUGGGUAGAUGUUAUGUUGUGAACCACAGGCCCUGGAAUCACAUCUAUAAUAUAUGAUAUGGGUCCUGUAGUCAACUCUAUAGGUUCUACGACUAGUACAGAUGGUUCAGAGGUUAAUUCUUCAAUUUUCAGUUUUUGUACCAAUGACCCCGAUUCUUCAAUUUGCACGUUUGGUUCAAGAUUCAACCCCUGAGAUCCCAUUUCUGAAUAGGUUUCUACAGUGGUCCCCUGGGACUCAUCAACUUCAGGCAAUGUCAAUUCAGUUCUAUCUGGGUAUUCAUAUAGAUUUAGUUCUGAUGGGUUAGUAACAUCUGAACAUGGUUCUAGUGUCACAUGAGGAAAGUCCAUAUCUGGGGGCUGUGGUUCUGGGGUCAUCACUUCUGGGUUUAUGGUUGGCACUUCUAAUUCUGGUAGCAAAUUCAGAAUAUCUUUAAUUUCAGUUUGUAAUUCUGGAGUCUCUUUCAUCUCUUUUACAAGGUGGAUCCUAGUUUCAAGAAUAUCUUGGAGUGGUGGUAAGUCCAUCUCUAUAGAUUCUGAGGUUUGGCUCGGUGGUGCUGGAGUCAUUCCUACUGAUGAGUGUGUCAACUCAGCAGAUUCUUCUACCUGAUGACAAGUGUCAGAGGUCACCCUUGCUUCUGAGGCUUGUUGGUUUUCAGUCAGCCCUUCAGGGUCUGGGAAAGAAUAACUUGAGUUGAGGCUCACAUCUGAAGAUUUUACUGCAUAAAGUUGUGUAGUUAAUUCAUCAACUUUUGUACUUUCCACCAAAGACUCAAGAAUUAAACUCCUACAGUCUACCAAUGGAAUCUUUGUAUCUUCAAGCAGUGACACAUGGCCUAUCUUCUCAGAGCUGGUAUUUUGUGAACAUGGUUUUGGGGCCAAGUUUGCAGAUUUUACAUCUUCAAGUGAUAGUCUUGCAGUCAAUGAAACCAUUUUUAUAUCUUCCUGUACCUCCUGUAUUAGGGACGAAAGAACACCUUCCGCACCUUGAGACUGUGAACCAGGGGUCAAAUUUACUGUUUUAGUAUUUUGCACCUGUGGAUUUGGGGCCAACCUAGCAGACUGAACAUUUGGGAGUUGUGGUUCAACUGUCAGUUGGGCAGACUUCACAUCUUGAAGCAGAGACUCUGGGGCUGACGGGACAGGUUUCUCAAUUUGUAGUUGUGGUAUUAGGGUUAAUUCCUCAGACUGUAUGCUCUGCUGUUGUUCUGGGGCCAAAUCUGUAGAUACCACCGUUGGGGUCAGCAGCCUAUCUAUUACUAUUUCUGGAACUAAAUCUAUGGAUACGUCCACAGGUUUUAUAUCUUGCAAUCUUGGAUCUGGGACUAGGCUCUUAGAGUAUCCAUUCUGUAAUUCUGGUGUUAAGUUUAUUGACUGCAUAACCUUAGGUCGUGGUGUUGUGUUUUUCUCCAAACACUCGACUUCUUGAAGUUUUGGAGUAACUGGCAUGACUUCAGAAUUUGUAAGUUGACACCGUUGGCUCAUCCCUGUAGGUACUGUCCCUUGAUCUGGGGCCUCUGGGGCUGUUGUCACAGAUUCUGUCAUUUGAUGAUGUGAUAGUGUCCUCUCUGUAGGAUUCUUCCAUUGUGGCCAGGUAUCAGAGGUUAACGCCAUAGGUUCUAUCAUUUUGUGACUUUCACUUGGACUCACCUCUGAGCAGUCUAUGUCUUGGUGCCAUGGAGUCAACUCUGAAGGGUCCAUGACCUGAUGAGGUGGUUUUGGAGUCAAUGAAAGAUUCUCUGUGCCUUGAUGUGGUGUCAUCCUAAUGGAGUCUCUGACUUGAACCUUGGAUGCAGAAGGCAACUCUAGAGAUGCUUUGGUUUGAGCCACUGACUGUGCAAUCAAACCAGUUUGUAAAGGUGGGAUCACUCCCAUGGGGGACCCCUGUACCCUUGAGUUUACCUUUAUGGAUUGCACUGGUGGUUCUGGAAUCAUCCUUGAUGAGUCCAGGACUUUAGAUGAUCGCUGUGAAGGUUGAAGAGAGCUAGGAGUAAACCUGACCUCUUUUGUGGCUUGAUUCUGUGACCCCGAGUCCAUGUUGAAUGUUUCUGGGACUUUAUGCUGAGGCUGCAGAAGCCUUUCCCCAGCUUUGAAAACUGUAUGAUGUGGGCCUUGACUCACCUUUGCUGGUUUUACAACUUGAUGUUUAUGCAAUGUAUCUACCCCCAAUGUAUCUACGCCAUUGACUUGGUGUUGUGGCUUUGGGGCUAUUCCUGCUGAUUCUGUGACAUGUAGGCAUAAUUCAUUAAUUAUCUCCCUAUCCACGAUGUUAAAAUAUACUGUAGGAGUUACA